Molecule: ribosomal RNA, 305 nt
Filed under: uncultured bacterium
Lineage: Bacteria
Description: bacterial SSU rRNA
Rfam family: Bacterial small subunit ribosomal RNA
Source: RNAcentral
ACGGCCUACGGGGGGCAGCAGUGGGGAAUAUUGCACAAUGGGGGAAACCCUGAUGCAGCGACGCCGCGUGAGUGAAGAAGUAAUUCGUUAUGUAAAGCUCUAUCAGCAGGGAAGAAAAUGACGGUACCUGAGUAAGAAGCCCCGGCUAACUACGUGCCAGCAGCCGCGGUAAUACGUAGGGGGCAAGCGUUAUCCGGAUUUACUGGGUGUAAAGGGUGCGUAGACGGAGAAACAAGUUGGUUGUGAAAUCCCUCGGCUCAACUGAGGAACUGCAACCAAAACUAUUUCCCUUGAGUGUCGGAGAG